Molecule: ribosomal RNA, 865 nt
Filed under: uncultured bacterium
Lineage: Bacteria
Description: bacterial SSU rRNA
Rfam family: Bacterial small subunit ribosomal RNA
Source: RNAcentral
AGAGUUUGAUCCUGGCUCAGAGCGAACGCUGGCGGCAGGCCUAACACAUGCAAGUCGAACGAACUCUUCGGAGUUAGUGGCGGACGGGUGAGUAACACGUGGGAACGUGCCUUUUGGUUCGGAAUAACUCAGGGAAACUUGUGCUAAUACCGAAUGUGCCCUUCGGGGGAAAGAUUUAUCGCCAUUAGAGCGGCCCGCGUCUGAUUAGCUUGUUGGUGAGGUAAUGGCUCACCAAGGCUACGAUCAGUAGCUGGUCUGAGAGGAUGAUCAGCCACAUUGGGACUGAGACACGGCCCAAACUCCUACGGGAGGCAGCAGUGGGGAAUCUUGCGCAAUGGGCGAAAGCCUGACGCAGCCAUGCCGCGUGAAUGAUGAAGGUCUUAGGAUUGUAAAAUUCUUUCACCGGGGACGAUAAUGACGGUACCCGGAGAAGAAGCCCCGGCUAACUUCGUGCCAGCAGCCGCGGUAAUACGAAGGGGGCUAGCGUUGCUCGGAAUUACUGGGCGUAAAGCGUGCGCAGGCGGUGAUGUAAGACAGUUGUGAAAUCCCCGGGCUCAACCUGGGAAUUGCAUCUGUGACUGCAUCGCUAGAGUACGGUAGGGGGGGAUGGAAUUCCGCGUGUAGCAGUGAAAUGCGUAGAUAUGCGGAGGAACACCGAUGGCGAAGGCAAUCCCCUGGACCUGUACUGACGCUCAUGCACGAAAGCGUGAGGAGCAAACAGGAUUAGAUACCCUGGUAGUCCACGCCCUAAAACGAUGUCAACUGGUUGUUGGGGUGCAUUAGUACUCAGUAACGAAGCUAACGCGUGAAGUUGACCGCCUGAGGAGUACGGCCGCAAGGGUUGAAACUUAAAAGGAAUUUGACG